GUGCUCGCUUCAGCAGCACAUAUACUAAAAUUAGAAUGAUACAGAAAAGAUUAGCAUGGCCCCGGCACAAGGAUGUCAUGCAAAAUUGUGAAUUGUUCCAUUUUUUU
This 107-nucleotide small nuclear RNA is filed under the name Jaculus jaculus (lesser Egyptian jerboa). Lineage: Eukaryota; Metazoa; Chordata; Mammalia; Rodentia; Dipodidae. The record is from RNAcentral.